RNAcentral lists this ribosomal RNA (484 nucleotides) under uncultured bacterium. RNAcentral's name for it is "partial 16S ribosomal RNA". It matches the Rfam family "Bacterial small subunit ribosomal RNA", at positions 30 to 507 of the family's 1533-position model. The record is from RNAcentral.
AUUGAGCGCUGGCGGCAGGCCUAACACAUGCAAGUCGAGCGGAUGAAGGGAGCUUGCUCCUGGAUUCAGCGGCGGACGGGUGAGUAAUGCCUAGGAAUCUGCCUGGUAGUGGGGGAUAACGUCCGGAAACGGGCGCUAAUACCGCAUACGUCCUGAGGGAGAAAGUGGGGGAUCUUCGGACCUCACGCUAUCAGAUGAGCCUAGGUCGGACUAGCUAGUUGGUGGGGUAAAGGCCUACCAAGGCGACGAUCCGUAACUGGUCUGAGAGGAUGAUCAGUCACACUGGAACUGAGACACGGUCCAGACUCCUACGGGAGGCAGCAGUGGGGAAUAUUGGACAAUGGGCGAAAGCCUGAUCCAGCCAUGCCGCGUGUGUGAAGAAGGUCUUCGGAUUGUAAAGCACUUUAAGUUGGGAGGAAGGGCAGUAAGUUAAUACCUUGCUGUUUUGACGUUACCAACAGAAUAAGCACCGGCUAACUUCGUG